GUCAUUUUCAGUGAUCUUUACAAUGCAAUCAUAAACAUUUGGGGUGAAAUUUCGUGCCAUAGGCACUUUAAGACAGGACGCUAUCGAAAUAGUUUUAUUACGCAUAACGCAUUGGAAUCGUAGUUCUUAAUGGUUAUCCUGUAUUUCUAUAUAAGUAGUAAUAUGGUAUUUGCUGUACGUGUUGAUGUAAUGUACUCAGGUGAAUAAGUGAUGCUUGUGUGAUGUUACUCUGAGUGUAUAUCCACACUGGCCAGGAUGAGAUUCGAAUCUACGACCUUGGAAUACUAGCCCAAUGCUCUGCCAACUACUGAGCUACGCGGUCAGGUCGGUUCGAGUAUGCG
Molecule: non-coding RNA, 341 nt
Organism: Paramuricea clavata
Lineage: Eukaryota; Metazoa; Cnidaria; Anthozoa; Malacalcyonacea; Plexauridae
Source: the annotation of a GenBank genome assembly